This 62-nucleotide transfer RNA is filed under the name human gut metagenome. It matches the Rfam family "tRNA", at positions 3 to 62 of the family's 71-position model. Rfam says of the family: Transfer RNA (tRNA) molecules are approximately 80 nucleotides in length. Their secondary structure includes four short double-helical elements and three loops (D, anti-codon, and T loops). The record is from RNAcentral.
UGUCAUAGCUCAGUUGGUAGAGCAAAGGACUGAAAAUCCUUGUGUCCCCGGUUCGAUUCCUG